AAUUUUUUGUAUAUAAUCCCAUGUGAAGCAAACACAUGAAUUUAGCUCUAUACAUUUCAGGCCUGGUUCUCAUUUCUAUGUAUACAACUUGGAUAGUUUUAUGAUUAAUAUGCUCGAUAUGAUACCAUGAUUUGAUAUUGCGUUUGUUAAGUGUUUAAUAAAUGUUAUCCAAACUAAUUGCCUCUAGUUGGUCAUGAUGUAAUUCGAUAUUCAUAAGUUGUUUUUGAUAUCAAUAAUCAAAUUUGAGUCGAUAUGUGCAAGAGAUCGCUGUGAAUAUAUGCGUAACAGGUCACUGUGAAAUGUAAUAAGUGUGAGUGAAGUAUGUUUGAAUUUAUAACUCAAAUCCAAUGAUUUUAAUUGCUAAUUUAAGAAUGGAAUGGUACUGUUUAUGUCAAGUGUUCAUUUUCUUCGUAUAUGUGUACAACUUUAAUAACAUGUCUUAAUGCUAUGAAGUAUUAUACUAUUAUUCCACCAAGUCCAAGAGUAAUUCCUUUUCCUUAGAAUUUUCAAUAGCUUCCCGGGGGCGAAGAAGGCUUAUUAAUAUACAGAUUUUGUUAAGUAUCAGCUCAAUAGAAGUAGUCAGGUGUUAAGUAAAUUCCUUGUCAUCAUGUACAUACGGGGUUGUUCCAAAUUGUGCAACAUAGGACUAAACAGAACUUUUCCUUUGAGCUAAUUACCUUCAAGCGCAAGGUUCUCUUAUUUGCCAGAAGAAAAUAAUAAGAGUUCCUCGAUGAAAAAUUCCCAUGUCAUAAUCGAUUGCUCCACUCGUAAUGUUUGAAACCAAAUGUUCAAUCACUCUACAAUGUUGCAUAUAUAGGUUAAGCUGAGCCCAAAUGAUGUCAGUAUUAAUUAUGACACCCACAAGCGAAACACUAAUCAGAUUACAGGAAACCUUCCUAUUUCGGGGGUGGUGUAGGCAUACAGUGACUUAGAUCAGAUGAGUCAAUUUUGAACAUGAAAACAAAUAAGAUGGUAUUUUGUAGGCACUGGAUGUACGAUUAUGAAGUUUCACUUCCCUAACUCCACUGUUUGAUAUGUUUUUAAUCCAAAUAUCUAUAUCUGAAUAGAGAUGAAGUGGCAGAUCAUUAGGAUUGCAAAGAAUAAACUUCAAUAUGAGACCUCCAAGAGAUAAAAGAAUACUGCUGCCGGUUAUUGAAAAUUCAUAUAGUUUAGUUUCUCUACUUCUGAAAGGAAACCUCUGAGAAAACCGGUUGAAGAAAAGGUCAUCAAAAACUAGGUGUGAGUGUAUUUCCCAUUUACCCCUUCAUGUUUUUGAGAGAAUCCUCAUUCUUGCUACACAGUCAACCGGCAAUCACUUUUGAAUUAGGUCUAGUAAGUCACUGGGCAUGUCACUUUUGAAUUAGACCUUAUACCAAAGCGAUUGCCGGUUGACUGUGUAGCGAGAAUGUACAUUCUCUCAAAAACAUGGAGGGGUAAAUGGGAAAUGCACCCACACCUAGUUUUUGAUGACCUUUUUCUUCAACCGGCUUUCUCAGAGGUUUCCUUCCAGAAGUAGAGAAACCAAACUAUAUGAAUUUUGAAGAACCGUCAGCAGUAGUCUUUUAUCUCGUAGUGGUCUCAUAUUGAAGUUUUUUCUUUGCAUUCCUCAUGAUUUGUUUCUUCAUCUCUAUUUAGAUAUAGAUAUUUGGAUUAAAAACAUAACAAACAAUGGAGUUAAGGAAGUGCAACUUCAUAAUCGUACAUUGAGUGCCCACAAAAUACCAUCGUAUUUGUUUUCCUGUUCAGAGUUGACUCGUCUGAUUCUAAGUUGUAUGCUCACACCACCCCGGAAAUUGAAGACUUCCGUAAUCUGAUUACUGUUUUGAUUGUGGGUGUCAUAAUUACAACUGACAUAUCAUUUGGGGCUCAACUUACUGACCUACAUUUGCAAAGUUGCAUUGGGAUUGAACAUUUGAGAAUGGAAAGGCAUUUGUUUAUGUCAAGUGUUCAUUUUCUUCGUAUUUGUGUACAACUUUAAUAACAUGUCUUAAUGCUAUCAAGUAUUAUACUAUUAUUCCACCAAGUACAAGAGUAAUUCCUUUUCCUUAGAAUUUUCGAUGGCUUCCCGGGGGCGUAGAAGGCUUAUUAAUAUACAUAUUUUGUUAAGUAUCAGCUCAAUAGAAGUAGUCAGGUGUUAAGUAGAUUCCUUGUCAUCAUGUACAUACGGGGUUGUUCCAAAUUGUGCAACAUAGGACUCAAAAAAACUUUUUCUUUGAGCUAAUUACCUUCACGCGCAAGGUUCUCUUAUUUGCCAGAAGAAAAUGAUAAGAGUUCCUCGAUGAAAAAUUCCCAUGUCAUAAUCGAUUGCUCCACUCGUAAGGUUUGAAACCAAAUGUUCAAUCACACUACAAAGUUGCAUAUAUAGGUUAGUAAGUUGAGCCCAAAUGAUGUCAGUAUUAAUUAUGACACCCAUAUGCGAAACACUAAUCAGAUUAUAGGAAACCUUCAUAUUUCGGGGGUGGUGUAGGCAUACAGUGACUUAGAUCAGAUGAGUCAAUUUUGAACAUGAAAACAAAUAAGAUGGUAUUUUGUAGGCACUGGAUGUACGAUUAUGAAGUUUCACUUCCCUAACUCCACUGUUUGAUAUGUUUUUAAUCCAAAUAUCUAUAUCUGAAUAGAGAUGAAGUGGCAGAUCAUUAGGAUUGCAAAGAAUAAACUUCAAUAUGAGAC
This 2670-nucleotide long non-coding RNA is filed under the name Daucus carota (carrot). Its description in RNAcentral is "long non-coding RNA (DCAR_LNC002562)". Lineage: Eukaryota; Viridiplantae; Streptophyta; Magnoliopsida; Apiales; Apiaceae. The record is from RNAcentral.